AAGCACCGGCACCAUUUCAAAAGUACCGGUUUGGCACCGGUAUCAGAUAAAACCUAAACGAUACUGUUACGUGUCUGCAGGCUGCAUGUUUUCUUUCCCUCCCCUUUUUGUUUCCCAUUCCCUUAGGUCACGGACUGCAGGCUGAUGCCAAUCUGGGGAUGUCCAACUAAUUAGAGGAGGGAGACCCUGAUUGGACAAACCAGGAGUGCACACCUUGAUAAGGAGACUCACCUGUGGCUGGGCGCGGCUCUCUUCCCUCUUUUGAAUUGUUUGGCUCAUGUGUAAAGCUCCUCUGCUGUGUUUCUUUUGUUUGAUGGUUGUGGUGGGAGUAAAAGUGGACUAGGUAAGUUUGGGGACCCCAUACACUUACUCACGUAGGGACUCUUUGUUAGAAACACUAGGUAAGUAGGUUGGUGCCACCCUUGUAAUUUUGAGCUUGGUUUGAGUUGUGGUUUAGGGACUUUCUGUUUUUGUUUUUUCUAGGAUAGUAGCUCAGCUAUGUUUUGGUUUUGUCUUUUUGGUGUUUUUUUUGGCACAACCUAACGGUCCCUUUCUCCCCCACAUUUGUUGUUUAACUUUGGGUUAUUUAUUUUGUGAGAGCGCUGCCAUUAAAUCUUUUUCUUAACACCUUUA
This is a long non-coding RNA of Oreochromis niloticus (Nile tilapia), 633 nucleotides long. RefSeq lists it as uncharacterized. NCBI's taxonomy places the organism in Eukaryota, Metazoa, Chordata, Actinopteri, Cichliformes, Cichlidae. The record is from RefSeq and is a predicted model, not a curated record. The transcript has 3 exons.